RNAcentral lists this ribosomal RNA (279 nucleotides) under Salmonella enterica. Its description in RNAcentral is "partial 23S ribosomal RNA". It matches the Rfam family "Bacterial large subunit ribosomal RNA", at positions 2664 to 2925 of the family's 2925-position model. RNAcentral also lists the same sequence under 2 other names. Lineage: Bacteria; Pseudomonadati; Pseudomonadota; Gammaproteobacteria; Enterobacterales; Enterobacteriaceae. The record is from RNAcentral.
GAGGGGGGCUGCUCCUAGUACGAGAGGACCGGAGUGGACGCAUCACUGGUGUUCGGGUUGUCAUGCCAAUGGCACUGCCCGGUAGCUAAAUGCGGAAGAGAUAAGUGCUGAAAGCAUCUAAGCACGAAACUUGCCCCGAGAUGAGUUCUCCCUGAGACUUAGAGUCUCCUGAAGGAACGUUGAAGACGACGACGUUGAUAGGCCGGGUGUGUAAGCGCAGCGAUGCGUUGAGCUAACCGGUACUAAUGAACCGUGAGGCUUAACCUUACAACGCCGAAG